Long non-coding RNA from Spinacia oleracea (spinach), 384 nucleotides. RefSeq lists it as uncharacterized. Lineage: Eukaryota; Viridiplantae; Streptophyta; Magnoliopsida; Caryophyllales; Amaranthaceae. The transcript is spliced from 2 exons. The record is from RefSeq and is a predicted model, not a curated record.
UAUUGGCUACUGCUCAGCUUUAUAAACAACAAAAAGGUUCUAAACAAUUUGAUUCAUUCACCUCACAAAAAAUCAAUCUUAUUUAUUUUCUUGUUUACCAAACAUGUCCGGAAACAAAUCAUUUCUACCUCUCCUUCUGGCACUUAUGUUCCUCGUGUUUUCGGGUACAAUCAAAUGCAGAGUUGCUACAAUGGAUCUUCAAAGUUCUAUAAUUCCUUCUUCGGAGGAGGGAGCAGAAUGCCAUGCAUCAUUGAAUUGCGUUCAGGAUAUAUGUCAAAGAUAUGGUUGCCAUGGGAAAAAAGCCAAGUGUCUUUCCAGUUUAUGUUGUUGUAAUGUCUAAUUAAUGGGGAAGUAAAAACAUAAUAAAGAUUUCAUUUUUGAGUA